Long non-coding RNA from Brienomyrus brachyistius, 499 nucleotides. RefSeq lists it as uncharacterized. Lineage: Eukaryota; Metazoa; Chordata; Actinopteri; Osteoglossiformes; Mormyridae. The record is from RefSeq and is a predicted model, not a curated record. The transcript has 2 exons.
CGGCUCGGACGAUCGGACUGAUGGUGCGAGGCUGCGCUCCGCGCGGGGCUCGAGAGCUCGAGCUGUGAGACGUGACCGGAAUUAUACGCGCGUCGCGGCGGUUUUUCCAUCGGUUAUUAUCCUGCGACACGGACAGAGGUUAAGAGCGCAGAAAAGCGUCGAGGCUGCCAUUGUUACACGGCGCCCUCCUUGCCUCAGACUUGCCCCUACCUGCCUAGGGGAAAGGUCGGAGACUCCGGAUCCGGGAUCGGCUGCCGGGCGCCUCAGCCUUGUUGUGCGCGAGGUGCGCUGCUGACAUUCCGCGUGCCGGCGGCUCGUGGGGGCUGUGAUUCAUCUCCGCCGGCAGGUAGGGGGCUCGAUUCGACUUGCUGACGGAGCGGACCGCGGACCCGCAGGAUGCCGCUGGCGCAGCUCGCAGACCCCCUGGCCCAAAAUGGAGCUGGUGCAGCUGGAGACGGAGAACGGGCAGAGCACCACUGAGGACCGAGACACGUCAGCC